This 458-nucleotide ribosomal RNA is filed under the name uncultured bacterium. Its description in RNAcentral is "partial 16S ribosomal RNA". It matches the Rfam family "Bacterial small subunit ribosomal RNA", at positions 338 to 795 of the family's 1533-position model. The record is from RNAcentral.
CCUACGGGUGACAGCAGUGAGGAAUAUUGGUCAAUGGGAGAGAUCCUGAACCAGCCAAGCCGCGUGAGGGAAGACGGCCCUAUGGGUUGUAAACCUCUUUUGUCGGAGAACAAAACCCGGGACGUGUCCCGGACUGUGUGUAUCCGAAGAAAAGCAUCGGCUAACUCCGUGCCAGCAGCCGCGGUAAUACGGGGGAUGCGAGCGUUAUCCGGAUUUUAUGGGUUUAAGGGGUGCGUAGGCGGUCCGUUAAGUCAGCGGUAAAAUUGAGAGGCUAAACCUCGUCGAGCCGUUGAAACUGGUUUUCUUGAGUGAGCGAGAGGUAUGCGGAAUGCGUGGUGUAGCGGUGAAAUGCAUAGAUAUCACGCAGAACACCGAUUGCGAAGGCAGCAUACCGGCGCUCAACUGACGCUCAGGCACGAAAGUGUGGGUAGCGAACAGGAUUAGAUACCCCAGUAGUC